UACGGAGGGUGCAAGCGUUAUCCGGAUUCACUGGGUUUAAAGGGUGCGUAGGUGGGCAGGUAAGUCAGUGGUGAAAUCUCUGGGCUUAACCCAGAAACUGCCGUUGAUACUAUCUGUCUUGAAUGUAGUGGAGGUGAGCGGAAUAUGUCAUGUAGCGGUGAAAUGCUUAGAUAUGACAUAGAACACCAAUUGCGAAGGCAGCUCGCUACACUACUAUUGACACUGAGGCACGAAAGCGUGGGGAUCAAACAAG
RNAcentral lists this ribosomal RNA (253 nucleotides) under uncultured bacterium. RNAcentral describes it as "partial 16S ribosomal RNA". It matches the Rfam family "Bacterial small subunit ribosomal RNA", at positions 524 to 776 of the family's 1533-position model. The record is from RNAcentral.